CACUCGGCGCCCCCACCCGGGCCCUGCCGGCAGGCACGAGGGGCGGGGCGCGCGGCCCGAGGUGAGGGACCGCGGGCCGGAGGGGAUCCAGCGAGUCAGCUGCCGCCGAGGGACCAGCGCGGGUCUAGCUGCUGCCGCCAUCCCCACCAUCCCUGACCGCGCCUGCCCGGGCUCCGCGCCAGGAGGAGCGGCCAGGCCCAGCCCCGGCACCGCGCGCUCGGGGACCCCGACGGCGCCCAGCCCGGCGAGGGGCCUCAGGGGGAGGACGAGGAGGAAAGGCGGCCUCGCCGGGGACCCGGCCAUGGCGCUGGACUUCUUGGCUGGAUGCGCGGGGGCCAUCCAGCGGGGUUGGGGCUACGGAGCCGACCCCCUACUCGGCUGGCCUUGGAGGGCACUGAACCACUCUGGCGCCGAGUCACGCCUUGGAACGCCGCCCCUUCCUACGCGGUUUUGUGUGGCAGGCGUGCUUGUGGGACACCCGUUUGACACGGUCAAGGCCCUUGGGACUGAAAGAAUCCAAGAUCUGGAUCUCCUCUAUAGCGCCCAGAACCACAGCCACCGUCCUGAAGCACACGGCCUUCACACGUUUCUACACGAAGGGAGUUUUCUGUCCUGCUUCCUUGGACACAGCAAUAAUCAGGGAGCAGUUGUCUUGACCUAUGAUGAGGGGGUGACCGGCCAUCCCUGGGCAUGGGAUGGGGAGUGUGGGUGGGGGCUGGCUGUGGGGGCUCCGCGCCUGGAUGUGAUGUUGAAAUUUUGUGUUGCUUUAACCGCCUUUACUUUCUGAGCUAGGGGCU
Molecule: long non-coding RNA, 797 nt
Filed under: Homo sapiens (human)
Lineage: Eukaryota; Metazoa; Chordata; Mammalia; Primates; Hominidae
Description: non-protein coding lnc-WARS-2:1
Source: RNAcentral